RNAcentral lists this ribosomal RNA (1356 nucleotides) under Triticum aestivum (bread wheat). RNAcentral's name for it is "partial small subunit ribosomal RNA". Lineage: Eukaryota; Viridiplantae; Streptophyta; Magnoliopsida; Poales; Poaceae. The record is from RNAcentral.
GCAGCCCUACAUACUAAAGAUGGUAUCUGUGUGGAGGAUCAUGCGGGCAAAGAAGCAAUACUCUUUCAAUCCUUCAAACAGAGACUUGGCAAUUCUUCUCAUAAAGAUAUGAAAUUUGAUCUUCCAAGUAUUAUCAAGAGAAUUGAAGGCCUAGAUGCUUUAACUGUCCCUUUCACACAUGCUGAAAUAGAUCAUGUUAUUAAAUCGAUGCCACCGGAUCGUGCACCAGGACCAGAUGGCUUCAAUGGUGCGUUUCUCAAAGCUUCUUGGCCAAUCAUCAAAGAGGAUUUUUAUAAAUUGUGUAAUCAAUUCUUUGAUGGAAAUCUCAAUCUUGAAAGCAUCAACGACGACUACAUCACUCGGUUCCCAAAAAACAAUGCGCCUAGCACCGUCAAUGAUUUCCGACCAAUCACCCUAUUGAACUGCUGUCUCAAAGUGAUCACUAAAAUCUCGGCCAACCGGUUGCAAAAAGUCAUUCUGAAAAUAAUUCACCGUAACCAGUACGGUUUCCUCAAAGGGCGCACUAUCCAGGACUGUCUCGCUUGGGCAUUCGAAUACAUUUACCAGUGCCAAAGCUCCAAGAAAGAGAUUGUACUUCUCAAACUCGACUUUGCUAAGGCCUUUGAUACCAUUGACCAUGAAGCAAUGCUCAUCAUUAUGAAGAACAUGGGUUUUAACGAUAAAUGGUUAGGCUGGAUUCAAUGUAUCUUUUCUUCGGGCAAGUCAGCUGUUCUCCUAAACGGUGUCCCUGGCAGACAAUUUCAAUGCAAAUGCGGUGUGAGACAAGGUGACCCUCUGUCCCCACUAAUUUUUGUACUUGCCGCUGACCUCCUUCAAGCUGCAAUCAAUGAUGCUUUUACUAGGGGGGAAAUCAGUUUGCCCUUUCCUUGCAAUACACAACGAGAAUACCCGGUGAUUCAAUACGCGGAUGAUACUAUUCUAGCUAUGCCUGCAUGUCCUGCACAAGCCAUGACCAUCAAAACUAUCCUCUCCGACUAUGCCACAUUGGUAGGUUUAAAGAUCAAUUUCCAUAAAUCUACUAUCAUACCCCUCAACUGUGGGCAGGAGGUCAUAAACACAUUGGCAAAUAUUUUUGGCUGUGUUAUUGGCAAGCUACCAUUUACCUAUCUUGGCCUACCCAUGGGCACCACCAAACCAACUAUUUUGGACCUCAUGCCUCUGGUCUGCCGUGUGGAGAGACGACUUUCAGCCACCCUCAACAUGAUUACAUAUGGAGGAAAACUCACAUUGUUGAAUUCAGUCAUAACUUCUCUCAUCAUCUUCGCUCUUUGCACACUCAAACUCCCAGCAGGCAUCAUAGAACUUAUUGACAAAAUCCGCAGAAAGUGCCUCUGG